Molecule: ribosomal RNA, 468 nt
Filed under: uncultured bacterium
Lineage: Bacteria
Description: partial 16S ribosomal RNA
Rfam family: Bacterial small subunit ribosomal RNA
Source: RNAcentral
GACGAACGCUGGCGGCGUGCUUAACACAUGCAAGUCGAACGGAAAGGCCCUGCUUUUGUGGGGUGCUCGAGUGGCGAACGGGUGAGUAACACGUGAGUAACCUGCCCUUGACUUUGGGAUAACUUCAGGAAACUGGGGCUAAUACCGGAUAGGAGCUCCUGCUGCAUGGUGGGGGUUGGAAAGUUUCGGCGGUUGGGGAUGGACUCGCGGCUUAUCAGCUUGUUGGUGGGGUAGUGGCUUACCAAGGCUUUGACGGGUAGCCGGCCUGAGAGGGUGACCGGCCACAUUGGGACUGAGAUACGGACCAGACUCCUACGGGAGGCAGCAGUGGGGAAUCUUGCACAAUGGGCGGAAGCCUGAUGAAGCAACGCCGCGUGCGGGAUGACGGCCUUCGGGUUGUAAACCGCUUUCGCCUGUGACGAAGCGUGAGUGACGGUAAUGGGUAAAGAAGCACCGGCUAACUACGUG